This 253-nucleotide ribosomal RNA is filed under the name uncultured bacterium. Its description in RNAcentral is "partial 16S ribosomal RNA". It matches the Rfam family "Bacterial small subunit ribosomal RNA", at positions 524 to 776 of the family's 1533-position model. The record is from RNAcentral.
UACGUAGGGGGCAAGCGUUAUCCGGAUUCAUUGGGCGUAGAGAGCGUGUAGGCGGCCAGGUAGGUCGGUUGUGAAAACUGGAGGCUCAACCUUCAGAGGUCGACCGAAACCAUCUGGCUAGAGUCCGGGAGAGGAGAGUGGAAUUCCUGGUGUAGCGGUGAAAUGCGCAGAUAUCAGGAAGAACACCCGUGGCGAAGGCGACUCACUGGACACAUAUUGACGCUGAGGUGCGAAAGCGUGGGGAGCAAACAGG